This 516-nucleotide ribosomal RNA is filed under the name uncultured bacterium. Its description in RNAcentral is "partial 16S ribosomal RNA". It matches the Rfam family "Bacterial small subunit ribosomal RNA", at positions 29 to 523 of the family's 1533-position model. The record is from RNAcentral.
AACGAACGCUGGCGGCGUGCCUAACACAUGCAAGUCGAACGGAAUAAGGGGCUUGCUCCUUAUUUAGUGGCGCACGGGUGAGUAACGCGUAGAUAAUCUGCCUGAUGAUCUGGGAUAACAUUUCGAAAGAGGUGCUAAUACCGGAUAAGCCCACGACGGCCUUGGUCGACGCGGGAAAAGGGGGGGACCAUUUGGCCUUCUGUCAUCAGAUGAGUCUGCGUACCAUUAGCUAGUUGGUGGGGUAAAGGCCUACCAAGGCUACGAUGGUUAGCUGGUCUGAGAGGAUGAUCAGGCACACUGGAACUGAGACACGGUCCAGACUCCUACGGGAGGCAGCAGUGGGGAAUUUUGCGCAAUGGGCGAAAGCCUGACGCAGCAACGCCGCGUGAGUGAUGAAGGCUUUCGGGUCGUAAAGCUCUGUCAAUGGGAAAGAAGUGUAUUGUAGCUAAUAUCUGCGAUACUUGACGGUACCCAUAAAGGAAGCACCGGCUAACUCCGUGCCAGCAGCCGCCGUAA